This 492-nucleotide ribosomal RNA is filed under the name uncultured bacterium. RNAcentral's name for it is "partial 16S ribosomal RNA". It matches the Rfam family "Bacterial small subunit ribosomal RNA", at positions 29 to 507 of the family's 1533-position model. The record is from RNAcentral.
AUUGAACGCUGGCGGCAUGCUUUACACAUGCAAGUCGAACGGUAACAGGCCUUCGGGUGCUGACGAGUGGCGAACGGGUGAGUAAUGCAUCGGAACGUACCCAGAGGUGGGGGAUAACGCAGCGAAAGCUGUGCUAAUACCGCAUGUGAUCUGAGGAUGAAAGCGGGGGACCGAGCAGCAAUGUUUGGCCUCGCGCCUUUGGAGCGGCCGAUGUCGGAUUAGCUAGUUGGUGGGGUAAAGGCCUACCAAGGCGACGAUCCGUAGCUGGUCUGAGAGGAAGACCAGCCACACUGGGACUGAGACACGGCCCAGACUCCUACGGGAGGCAGCAGUGGGGAAUUUUGGACAAUGGGCGCAAGCCUGAUCCAGCAAUGCCGCGUGCGGGAAGAAGGCCUUCGGGUUGUAAACCGCUUUUGGCAGGAACGAAACGGUGUCCGCUAAUACCGGGCGCUAAUGACGGUACCUGCAGAAUAAGCACCGGCUAACUACGUG